UACAGAGGGGGCGAGCGUUGUUCGGAAUUACUGGGCGUAAAGGGCGCGUAGGCGGCCUUCUAAGUCGAACGUGAAAUCCCCGGGCUCAACCCGGGAACUGCGUCCGAUACUGGGAGGCUUGAAUCCGGGAGAGGGAUGUGGAAUUCCAGGUGUAGCGGUGAAAUGCGUAGAUAUCUGGAGGAACACCGGUGGCGAAGGCGGCAUCCUGGACCGGUAUUGACGCCGAGGCGCGAAGGCCAGGGGAGCAAACGGG
This 253-nucleotide ribosomal RNA is filed under the name uncultured bacterium. Its description in RNAcentral is "partial 16S ribosomal RNA". It matches the Rfam family "Bacterial small subunit ribosomal RNA", at positions 524 to 776 of the family's 1533-position model. The record is from RNAcentral.